Molecule: ribosomal RNA, 468 nt
Filed under: uncultured bacterium
Lineage: Bacteria
Description: partial 16S ribosomal RNA
Rfam family: Bacterial small subunit ribosomal RNA
Source: RNAcentral
GAUGAACGCUGGCGGCGUGCUUAACACAUGCAAGUCGAACGGUGAAGGCGGAGCUUGCUCUGCUGGAUCAGUGGCGAACGGGUGAGUAACACGUGAGCAAUCUGCCCCUGACUCUGGGAUAAGCGCUGGAAACGGCGUCUAAUACUGGAUACGAGCUGCGAAGGCAUCUUCAGCAGCUGGAAAGAACUUCGGUCAGGGAUGAGCUCGCGGCCUAUCAGCUUGUUGGUGAGGUAACGGCUCACCAAGGCGUCGACGGGUAGCCGGCCUGAGAGGGUGACCGGCCACACUGGGACUGAGACACGGCCCAGACUCCUACGGGAGGCAGCAGUGGGGAAUAUUGCACAAUGGGCGGAAGCCUGAUGCAGCAACGCCGCGUGAGGGACGACGGCCUUCGGGUUGUAAACCUCUUUUGGCAGGGAAGAAGCGAAAGUGACGGUAACUGCAGAAAAAGCGCCGGCUAACUACGUG